CCUUGGUGAGUCUAUCCGGAGGAUACAAGGGUCUGUAACUACAUCUAGAGGAAGGAGACAGAAACGUUUUGUAGGUGCUAUCAUUGGCAGUAUAGCUCUUGGGGUUGCGACAGCUGCACAGAUAACAGCAGCUGCAGCUCUGAUACAAGCCAACCAGAACGCUGCCAACAUCCUCCGGCUUAAGGAGAGCAUUGCUGCAACCAAUGAAGCUGUGCACGAGGUCACUGACGGAUUAUCCCAACUAGCAGUGGCAGUCGAGUCUGUACAAUCUUGCGCUCAAUGUCACUAUUGAUGUGGAAGUGGACCCGAAGAGCCCAUUAGUCAAAUCCCUUUCCAAGUCCGAUGGCGGAUAUUAUGCCAAUCUCUUCUUACAUAUCGGGCUUAUGUCCACUGUAGAUAAAAAGGGAAAGAAAGUGACAUUUGACAAGCUGGAAGAGAAGAUAAGAAGACUCAAUCUAUCUGUUGGGCUCAGUGAUGUGCUCGGAC
RNAcentral lists this unclassified non-coding RNA (486 nucleotides) under avian paramyxovirus 1. RNAcentral describes it as "Avian orthoavulavirus 1 partial miscellaneous RNA". The record is from RNAcentral. Lineage: Riboviria; Orthornavirae; Negarnaviricota; Monjiviricetes; Mononegavirales; Paramyxoviridae.